RNAcentral lists this small nuclear RNA (195 nucleotides) under Salmo salar (Atlantic salmon). Its description in RNAcentral is "U2 spliceosomal RNA (ENSSSAG00000097307.1)". It matches the Rfam family "U2 spliceosomal RNA". From Rfam's summary of the family: U2 is a small nuclear RNA (snRNA) component of the spliceosome (involved in pre-mRNA splicing). Lineage: Eukaryota; Metazoa; Chordata; Actinopteri; Salmoniformes; Salmonidae. The record is from RNAcentral.
AUUUUGUUUUGUUUGGUACUGAACGUAAAAAAUAAUUAUAAAUCUGUUCUUAUCAGUUUAAUAUCCGAUACGUCCCCCAUCGGGGGACUACAUAUUAAAUGGAUUUUUCGAACAGGGAGUCGGAAAUGGGGCUUGCUCCGUCCGCUCCACGCAUCGACCCGGUAUUGCAGUACCUCCGGGAACGGUGCAACACUU